GGCCGGCCUGUCAGCUGCUCCGAACACGUGUUGUUGUCAAAGCACGUGUUGUGUCUUAUGAGGAUUCGCCUGUCUUGUUUCUGGGGAAGAAUUCGUGAUAUAUUUUAACCAAAGAAGGGGGAAGCUAACAGAGAGAAAAGUAUCGCAACGCAGAGACAAAAGACGGUAAAAAAGGAAGAAGAGGAAGGCUAUUAACUGCUGCAACUCCAGCUAAAGGUCACUGGAGCAAAGAAAGCGACAGCUGUGGUUUUCUCAGCAAUGGAGGGAGGACAGAGUAAGGGAAAGGGGAGAGCAAUGGCUUCUGAAAUGCAGAAAGGAGCUAUGUAUGCAAAAUGGAAGAAGAAGAGAGGCUGAAGAAAUGUUAACCCCAAUGAAAAGGAUAAUCCGAGAAUGGUGGACUUUUAACCUUAAAGCUGAGGUCUAGGGGUUUGCAGCAAAAUCUCAUUCCCUCAACUGAAGUCAUUUUAUAAGAAUUACUACCAAAGGAGUGAGUUAUCGAGGAUGUUUUACUCCUCAGAUUGAUAAGCACAAAGAGUCUAUUAAACCGAAUCAAAGAGGUUGCUGAGGAAUGCCCUCAUGUAUGCUGAUUAUGCCUAAGUGAAUGGUUUCCUGAGAAUAUACCAGUAGACAGAAGGACAGAGUUCCAUUAGGGAAAGAGGACGCGAAUAAGAAUUAAAUGGAUGUUGGCAGCUAAGAGGAGAAGAAACAGACCCCUAUAGAAAUUUGAGUAAAUAUAGUAUUGUCAGGAAAUUUUGAACAACUGUGUAUAUUCUCUUCAUAAAGGAAACUGUGAAACCUUAAAGAUGUAUUUAUCUUUACAAAAAGUAUGCCUAUUAUGUGUUGUGAAUUUGUACUUAUUUGUGUGUGAAUCUGAUUUUCACUUACAAAAUAUGAUAGUUAAAAUGAUAAUAAUGGACAAUAAUAACUUGUAUUUUAUAUGUUAUUAUUAUUUUACAUGUUUCCUCCUCCACCUCUCAGUAUCACAUAUCAUACUUGUGAUGCGUAGGUAUUGUUAGAGAGAGUUUGUGUGGUUGGGAUGUUGUUUGAAAUUGUAACUUAUUAAUGUCAUUAUCAUUUAGUGUUAUAAAUGGGUAUAU
Penaeus monodon (black tiger shrimp) is the source of this 1097-nucleotide long non-coding RNA. RefSeq lists it as uncharacterized. Lineage: Eukaryota; Metazoa; Arthropoda; Malacostraca; Decapoda; Penaeidae. The record is from RefSeq and is a predicted model, not a curated record. The transcript has 5 exons.